AGUAAGUCAGAGGUGAAAGCCUGCAGCUCAACUGUAGAACUGCCUUUGAUACUGCUAGUCUUGAGUCAUUAUGAAGUGGUUAGAAUGUGUAGUGUAGCGGUGAAAUGCAUAGAUAUUACACAGAAUACCGAUUGCGAAGGCAGAUCACUAAUAAUGUACUGACACUGAUGGACGAAAGCGUGGGGAGCGAACAGGAUUAGAUACCCUGGUAG
RNAcentral lists this ribosomal RNA (212 nucleotides) under uncultured bacterium. RNAcentral's name for it is "partial 16S ribosomal RNA". It matches the Rfam family "Bacterial small subunit ribosomal RNA", at positions 582 to 793 of the family's 1533-position model. The record is from RNAcentral.